Gonapodya prolifera JEL478 is the source of this 157-nucleotide small nuclear RNA. It matches the Rfam family "U1 spliceosomal RNA". Rfam says of the family: U1 is a small nuclear RNA (snRNA) component of the spliceosome (involved in pre-mRNA splicing). Its 5' end forms complementary base pairs with the 5' splice junction, thus defining the 5' donor site of an intron. There are significant differences in sequence and secondary structure between metazoan and yeast U1 snRNAs, the latter being much longer (568 nucleotides as compared to 164 nucleotides in human). NCBI's taxonomy places the organism in Eukaryota, Fungi, Monoblepharomycota, Monoblepharidomycetes, Monoblepharidales, Gonapodyaceae. The record is from Rfam.
AUACUUACCUGUUGGACGCAUUCGGGUGAUCAGGAAGGCCCGGUGUGGUGGGUGGGCGAUUGGCAUUGCACCAACGUCUGGUUGUCUGCCUGCGGAACGGCCUUCGGGUCGUCUCCUCCGAAUAAUUUUUGAUAUGGAUGGCGCACGCUGUCCCGAU